AUGUCCUAUGGUGUACAGAGGUCUCUCUCUCUCCCUCUUUUCCAAAUGGCCCGCUUCCUGUCCCCUCUACCAAACCACAUGGGAGGGGUCUGGCCAGCUUCUGCAAGAUCCCCUCUGUCCCUGACUCACCACAGACUGAAGCAUCCAGUGUGUGUACAACCAUGCGGUCCACUCUGGAGCAAGCGGAGAGCGGCUGUGCAAUCUGUGACUUGGCACACAGCAGUGUGUGAGCCCGAGCCAGCGAUCCUCCCGCCAGUCUGCACACCUCUGCACCACUCCAGUCAGGUGCCGCCCACCUGGGGAAAGCAAGCAAAGGCUGACAACAAGCUGGACAACGUGUCCUCAUAGUCUGUGAACCAGUGGAAGAUCUCAAACUCCUCUUCAAACAACAAGAUAAGAAGAAAUGAAGGUCUUUUUUCUUCUACUUGCUAUCUACAAACCACACCUAAAUGGUAACUCUUUUCUUCAAUGCACAC
RNAcentral lists this long non-coding RNA (476 nucleotides) under Mustela putorius furo (domestic ferret). Its description in RNAcentral is "lncRNA (ENSMPUG00000028431.1)". The record is from RNAcentral. Lineage: Eukaryota; Metazoa; Chordata; Mammalia; Carnivora; Mustelidae.